This 588-nucleotide long non-coding RNA is filed under the name Cricetulus griseus (Chinese hamster). Its description in RNAcentral is "lncRNA (ENSCGRG00015038960.1)". The record is from RNAcentral. Lineage: Eukaryota; Metazoa; Chordata; Mammalia; Rodentia; Cricetidae.
UACAGUUUGAUAUGGAAAACAGCAGCUGGCUGAUGAGCUGGCCCUGCAGCAAUUUGACAGCAUGGAGGAGCCCAGAGUGGAUAGGACUGAACAUGUCAUUGAGCACCAGCGGCUUUGAUACCAUGGGGACGGUGGCAUCCAAUAAAGCAGCUGUGGUUGGUGAGAAAGGUGGUACUUGGUGGCACAAGAUAGAGACGUCCUUGGCUGAAACGGAUUCAACCUAGAGGUGCAAACAGCAGAAAAUGGCAUGCCGUGGUUGAUGUGGAAAAAAGGAUGUUGUGGUUUGAAUAAAAAAUGGUCCCCAUAGGCACAUGUCUUUAAAUGCUUACUCACCAGGAAAUGACACUGUUUGAAAAGGACUAGAAGGCAUGUCCUUGUCAGAGGAAGUGUUGUCACUGAAGGAGUGCUUGGAGGUCUUGAAAGUCCCCGCCUGGCCCAGUGUCUCUCUCUCCCUCUGCUGCCUGCGCAUCGGGAUGUCAAGUCUGAUCUACUUCCCCAGUGCCAAGUGUGCCACCAUGCUCCCUGUCAUGUCAAUGCACUACUACUCUGAAUCUGUGAGCAAUACCCUGAUUAAAUGCUUUCUUUUAU